Molecule: ribosomal RNA, 492 nt
Filed under: uncultured bacterium
Lineage: Bacteria
Description: partial 16S ribosomal RNA
Rfam family: Bacterial small subunit ribosomal RNA
Source: RNAcentral
AGUGAACGCUGGCGGUAGGCCUAACACAUGCAAGUCGAACGGCAGCACAGUAAGAGCUUGCUCUUACGGGUGGCGAGUGGCGGACGGGUGAGGAAUACAUCGGAAUCUACUUUUUCGUGGGGGAUAACGUAGGGAAACUUACGCUAAUACCGCAUACGACCUACGGGUGAAAGCAGGGGAUCUUUGGACCUUGCGCGAUUGAAUGAGCCGAUGUCGGAUUAGCUAGUUGGCGGGGUAAAGGCCCACCAAGGCGACGAUCCGUAGCUGGUCUGAGAGGAUGAUACGCCACACUGGAACUGAGCCACGGUCCAGACUCCUACGGGAGGCAGCAGUGGGGAAUAUUGGACAAUGGGCGCAAGCCUGAUCCAGCCACACCGCGUGGGUGAAGAAGGCCUUCGGGUUGUAAAGCCCUUUUGUUGGGAAAGAAAAGCAGCAGGUUAAUACCCCGCUGUUCUGACGGUACCCAAAGAAUAAGCACCGGCUAACUUCGUG